This 491-nucleotide ribosomal RNA is filed under the name uncultured bacterium. RNAcentral describes it as "partial 16S ribosomal RNA". It matches the Rfam family "Bacterial small subunit ribosomal RNA", at positions 29 to 507 of the family's 1533-position model. The record is from RNAcentral.
AGUGAACGCUGGCGGUAGGCCUAACACAUGCAAGUCGAACGGCAGCACAGUAAGAGCUUGCUCUUACGGGUGGCGAGUGGCGGACGGGUGAGGAAUACAUCGGAAUCUACUUUUCGUGGGGGAUAACGUAGGGAAACUUACGCUAAUACCGCAUACGUCCUACGGGUGAAAGCAGGGGAUCUUCGGACCUUGCGCGAUUGAAUGAGCCGAUGUCGGAUUAGCUAGUUGGCGGGGUAAAGGCCCACCAAGGCGACGAUCCGUAGCUGGUCUGAGAGGAUGAUCAGCCACACUGGAACUGAGACACGGUCCAGACUCCUACGGGAGGCAGCAGUGGGGAAUAUUGGACAAUGGGCGCAAGCCUGAUCCAGCCAUACCGCGUGGGUGAAGAAGGCCUUCGGGUUGUAAAGCCCUUUUGUUGGGAAAGAAAAGCAGCAGGUUAAUACCCCGCUGUUCUGACGGUACCCAAAGAAUAAGCACCGGCUAACUUCGUG